Molecule: long non-coding RNA, 1818 nt
Filed under: Homo sapiens (human)
Lineage: Eukaryota; Metazoa; Chordata; Mammalia; Primates; Hominidae
Description: HSALNT0036605
Source: RNAcentral
GGCAGGGUGGGUGAGUCAUCCAAGAACUCAAAACCUGGCCCCUGUCUUUGUAGUGUGAGUUUAUGAGACUGUUUGCACAAUAAACCUCUGAACAGUUCUAUGAGGCUCUUUGUAUCUUAUGAAAAGAUUAGUUUAAGGGCUAAGGUCAGGAAUGAACAAAAUACAGUCCUUAUAAAUAUUCAUGUAUUCACUGAAAUAAAACAGUAAUUCCCCAGAGUGGAGGUGAGUGCACAGUGACACAGGAUGUCCUUUCCCUGACCUCAGAUUCGCAGUCUUCUCCAGCCCAGGGACACAAGAGAAAGAAGGCAUUGUAAGAAGGAAAAUGGAAGGGCACCUGGGGACUGAGAUUAUGUCCCCCACCCCUGCUCCCAGCUCGUCUCUGACUGCACACUGGAAUUACCUAAUGACAGCGUCCAACUCAGGCAAGUGUAUUUGUUUUAAAGGCAACCAGAGUUGAGAAAGCAUGAGUUCAACUGGCUUUCAGUGCUCAAACAGCAGAGUGGCAUUCCUCUCUUCUAACAAAGGUCCCAAGAAGGAAAAGGAGCUCCUUCCACUCCCCUCCUGACACCCUGCCUGGGCACAUUGGAGUUAGGAUGCUGGGAGCUGCCAGGAGAUGCACGGCCCAUGCAUCCUCUCCACAUAUGCUUCCUGGUCACUUAGUUUGGGCUCAAGACUGAGAGAUCCUGGCAAGAGUCCGGAGAGAAUGAACACCUCUGUCUGCUACAGCCCAUAGACACACACACCAUUCUGCCUUCCGAACAGCCCAGAUAGGAAAAUGGAAGUACAGAGAGAUUAAGUAACUUGUCAAUGAUCUCAUGGUGGGGAAGAGGCCCAGCUAGGAUUUGAACCCAGGCACUUUAAGUCUGGCUCCAGAACCCACUCUGUGAACCACUACAGUAUGCUACCUCUUGAACCAAAAAGACAUAAGAACACUUGAAGAUUUCCAAGUGCAAAAAAGGUACCCUAGAACUAAAAAAUAUUUUCAAGUCAAAAAUUCGGUAGAUGACUCCAAAUAGUCUGUUAAAAUUGCUGUUGAGGCCUGGAGCAAGCGAGCUGGUCACCACCAGCUGAUCAACACCAAAUGGAAGAAGAAACAGGUGCAACUAUGGAGAUGCAGCACAGAGUGAUGGAAAUCAGGAGGGAAGCAGAGAGACCUGGAGGACAGAUCUAGGCAACUAACAUGCAAAUAAUAGGAGUUCUUGAAGGAGUUUGAAAGCCGCAGAUGGGAGAGAGACGAUCAACAGACAACAGAGAGUCACUUCCCUGAGCCAAGAAAACACUGAGUGUGAGGAAGGAGAAGCUUACGUAUUCUAUUUUAAUGUCUUAAUGUAACCUUAUGCUUAUGACUUAUUUUAUUCUGUUGUUUAUUAUUUUUCCCUCUUCCUAGUGUUUGCUAGUGUGAUCUCUUGGAUAUACAUUUUCUUUCCCCACUUUGUUAAUGUGGGCAUUUGGUUGUAUAUUUCCAUUCUAUCAGUGUUCCCUUUAUCUCUUCCGGCAUUCAGAAUCAACUCUAUUUCUUUAUUGUAUACGAAAAUAAUUUACAACUAUUCCCUCUCCAGGAACUCCAUUCCCUUUCUACUGUCAGCCCCCAGCAUGACCUGUGGAACACACCAUGCCCCUACUCUCUCCCCGUCAGCCUAGGCUACAUGUUUAAAGUGACUUACUUUCCCCUCUGCUUCUCCAAUCCCUCACCGCUAGAUUUUUCUGAAAGCAUUUAGUAAUUAUCAUUUCAGAAUAUGAUUGUAAUUUCCCAGGAAUACAUGUUUUCUAUUUUAAGAAUUCUUGUGUGUAGACCCUAUAUUAUAAAUUCCCGAUCAG